This 332-nucleotide ribosomal RNA is filed under the name uncultured bacterium. Its description in RNAcentral is "bacterial SSU rRNA". It matches the Rfam family "Bacterial small subunit ribosomal RNA", at positions 568 to 898 of the family's 1533-position model. The record is from RNAcentral.
UGUGUAGGCGGGCCGUUAAGUAUCUUGUGAAAUCCCCCGGCUCAACCGGGGAAUGGCUGGAUAUACUGGCGGUCUUGAGCAAUCUAGGGGCAGAUGGAACAAGUGGUGGAGCGGUGAAAUGCGUAGAUAUCACUUGGAACGCCAAAGGUGAAGACAGUCUGCUGGGGAUUUGCUGACGCUGAGACACGAAAGCCAGGGGAGCGAACGGGAUUAGAUACCCCGGUAGUCCUGGCCCUAAACGAUGUCGACUAGAUCGCGGGACCUCUGACGGUUUCGCGGUCGAAGCAAAAGUGCUAAGUCGACCGCCUGGGAAGUACGGUCGCAAGGCUAAA